MicroRNA precursor from Gadus morhua (Atlantic cod), 55 nucleotides. The record is from Ensembl. NCBI's taxonomy places the organism in Eukaryota, Metazoa, Chordata, Actinopteri, Gadiformes, Gadidae.
UCGUUGCUUCGGUCGGUGAAGUCGCCGCCGUGGAUUGAGCAGUCGUUGCUUCGGU